Molecule: ribosomal RNA, 497 nt
Filed under: uncultured bacterium
Lineage: Bacteria
Description: partial 16S ribosomal RNA
Rfam family: Bacterial small subunit ribosomal RNA
Source: RNAcentral
GAUGAACGCUGGCGGCGUGCCUAAUACAUGCAAGUCGAGCGAACAGAUAAGGAGCUUGCUCCUUUGACGUUAGCGGCGGACGGGUGAGUAACACGUGGGUAACCUACCUAUAAGACUGGGAUAACUUCGGGAAACCGGAGCUAAUACCGGAUAAUAUUUCGAACCGCAUGGUUCGAUAGUGGAAGAUGGUUUUGCUAUCACUUAUAGAUGGACCCGCGCCGUAUUAGCUAGUUGGUAAGGUAACGGCUUACCAAGGCGACGAUACGUAGCCGACCUGAGAGGGUGAUCGGCCACACUGGAACUGAGGCACGGUCCAGACUCCUACGGGAGGCAGCAGUAGGGAAUCUUCCGCAAUGGGCGAAAGCCUGACGGAGCAACGCCGCGUGAGUGAUGAAGGUCUUCGGAUCGUAAAACUCUGUUAUUAGGGAAGAACAUACGUGUAAGUAACUGUGCACGUCUUGACGGUACCUAAUCAGAAAGCCACGGCUAACUACGUG